AAAUCAAUGUCUGUCACUUCUAGACAAGUCAUUUAAUUUUCCAGACCGGUAAGUCCAAAGCACGUUCUUGGUCUCGGAUUCAGAAAAGAAAAGAGAGAGAGAAGAUGAGUUCAAGAUCUGACCUCACAAUCAUGCGUGUCUGCUUCAUAAUCUUCUUGCUUGGAGUUCUUGUUGAGCUAUGUGAUGGAGGGAUUACCAGUGAAUAUGUCAGAGGAAGUGAUUUACCAGACGACAUGCCAUUAGACAGCGAUGUCUUUAAAGUUCCUCCCGGUCGUAACACUCCCCAACAGGUUCACAUAACGCAAGGUAACCAUGAAGGCAAUGGAGUGAUUAUUUCAUGGGUGACUCCUUCUGCGCCCUGUUCUAACACAGUUCGCUAUUGGUCUGAGAAUGGAAAAUCGAAGAAGCUAGCAGAAGCAACCAUGAACACCUACCGUUUCUUCAAUUAUACAUCUGGUUACAUCCACCACUGCCUCAUUGAUGAUUUGGAAGUAAGUCUUUCCAACAAUUUAUUUGUUGUAUUUAGUUGCAGGUUUUUAUUUAAGUGCCUCGGUGUUAAUACCAGCGAGAAGUAGUGAUAGAGAGAAUAAACAUUCAAAGAAUAACUGAAUAAAUUUAGUUAUUGGUUAAUAUAAUUGCAUCUUCUUUUUAUUUUGAGUGAUAUAAUAUAAUUGCAUCUUAUGUUUAAUUUUCUCUAUUUAUUAAGUCUGAAAAAAAUCAUUUUAUUGCAGUUUGAUAUGAAAUACUACUAUGAAAUUGGGAGUGGUAAAUGGCGAAGGCGAUUCUGGUUCUUUACUCCGCCUAAACCUGGUCCUGACGUACCUUACACCUUUGGCUUAAUAGGUAUCAACUUCUGUCUUUAGUAGAUUCAUAUUUUCUGUUGUGACCGUAGAUAUUUAAUUUAUUUCUAAUACAAUAUCCAGGGGAUCUAGGACAAACAUAUGAUUCAAAUCGAACGUUAAGUCAUUAUGAGAUGAAUCCGGGAAAAGGACAGGCGGUUUUGUUCCUAGGAGACUUGUCUUAUGCGGAUCUUUACCCUUUGCAUGACAACAACAGAUGGGAUACUUGGGGAAGAUUCGUUGAGAGAAGUGUUGCUUAUCAACCUUGGAUAUGGACUGCAGGAAACCACGAAAUCGACUAUGUUCCUGAAAUUGUAAGACUUUGAAUGAAUACCCUUGUUGGUUUCUCGAAAUGGAACUUGACAUUUUUUUGCUUUUGCAGGGUGAAACAGAACCAUUCAAGCCUUUUACGAAUCGGUAUCAUACGCCGUAUAAGGCAUCGGGAAGUAUCUCUCCAUUGUGGUAUUCCAUCAAGAGGGCUUCAGCUUAUAUUAUUGUUAUGUCUUGUUACUCAUCUUACGGUAAUAAUGACUAGAGAGAAGAAAAAUAAACUAUAUUAUUGGUUGGCUUUUCUUUAAAGACUUUUUUAAUCUGAUGGAUUAAUUAGGGGUGUACACUCCUCAGUACAAAUGGCUACGAAAGGAGUUCCAAAGAGUAAACCGAACAGAGACUCCAUGGCUUAUAGUCUUAGUACAUUGCCCCUUUUACCAUAGCUAUGAGCGUCAUUACAUGGAAGGUGAAACAAUGAGGGUCAUGUACGAGCCGUGGUUCGUCAAGUCCAAAGUCGAUGUCGUGUUUGCAGGCCAUGUUCAUGCCUAUGAGAGAUCGGUAAAAAAAUUAAAUUUAGUCCUCCCCAGUAGUAUUAAUCUACCCUUGUAUCUCCACUGCCCCCAAGUGAUCAUUAAGUACACUAACGCAGGAACGUGUUUCUAACAUUGCCUACAACAUUGUCAAUGGAUUGUGUGAGCCAAUAUCGGAUGAGUCGGCUCCGGUGUACAUAACCAUCGGGGACGGAGGAAACGCAGAAGGCUUGCUUACUGAGUAAUUUUUUACCAUAUUAGCUAGCUGUACAAAGACUUUCUAUGUUUCUGAUGAAUGACUUGGUUCUUCUUAUCGUAGGAUGAUGGAGCCACAGCCAAGCUACUCUGCCUUCCGAGAAGCUAGCUUUGGGCACGGGUUGCUGGAUAUCAAAAACAGGACUCAUGCCUACUUCAGCUGGAAUCGGAACGAAGAUGGGUCUUCCGAGGAAGCGGAUUCUGUGUGGUUGCUUAAUCGGUAUUGGGGAGCUCCAAAGAAUAUUUCGCUGGGUUUUGGUUGCCACCCGAACACAAAUUGAUCUAUGCUAAACGAUGGAACCAAAUGUGAGAGUUAUCAAGUUCUAUAACGUUUUCGUUUCGCAUGGUUGUCCUUUUAUAAACAAAUCACUAAGAAAGUAAGAAGAUGAUAUCUGCAAGAUAGUAAGUGCUAUAAUAAAAGAAAAGAUAGUAAAAGUGUAAUAAAAAGCCAAGCAAUGAUGAUAAAUAAAACUCGUUUGAAAUUUCAUAAUGAAGUUUCAUAAAACUUUAUUUAAUAGAACUUAUAAUUAUAAACUCGUCUUUGCAAAAAUGAAAUCUAAGCUCGUCUUUACAAAAAACUUAAUGGAACUUAUUUCGAGACGAUAGAUUUUGAAGUUUCAUAAAACUUUUAUUUAAUAGAAAUUAUAAUGGUAUCAAUAAUUUAUGUAUUUUCAAUUUUAUAUAAUUCUGAUCAUGAGCAAAAGCGGAUAGGCUGUGAUUCUAGGAAGAAAGUUCACGAUGGGGUAUUGUAUUAGUCAAUCGUGUGUGCAUUUGUGGUAAAUCGAGACGAUCGUGAAAAAAACCCAAAGAAUCAGGUAUAUUGGUCGAUGGUCAUGAGUUUGAGUGCGAUCGCUAGUCACGAUCAUCGAGAUGGAUAAACCUCAAGGCCAAGAUAGUAAUUCAGAUCAAGUCUGGUGCGAGAAACAAUUGGAUUGUAUAUGCUAGGCGAGUCAUGGUUCAUGAGUGGAUUCACGAUGAGCAUGACUCAAGAUGUUGGUAAGCAUAGGGCUGAGAAGACAAGCAGGGGCGGACCCAGAAAUUUGUUUAAAUGUUAUAAACAUAAAAUACAAAGAUAUUUUUUAAUAUUAAGCACGUAGACAUUAUGUAAAACAAGUUAAAUAAAGGUAUUUAAACAAAUUUUAUACUAAAUUUUUAACAAAUAAAAAGAGAGAGUGGAGUACAUACCACACCUUACUUUUACAUGGGUUCGCCCAUGAAAACAAGUCGAAACAGAGUGACUGUGAGGCUGAGUUAUUGGACUGGAGUGUUUGAGUAUUCAUGGCCGGUGGACUGGCGCGUCACUGCACAGUGUGAGGCAAAGGCUGUGGGCUAAGUAUGAUAUUCUGGUUGACCUUGAGAUGGUUAGUAAUUGACGAAGAAACUUCUAGUGUCCUGACCAUAAUGAUGGUUGGAUGGAAGACUGAGCCGUUUUGUUUGUUGCUUGGUCAUGUGGGGAUACUUGGUUAAGUGAAUAAGUAACAAGGAUAUGUAGUAAAGUAUUGUUCAAGUAGGACAAGAAAAUAUGGUGGCAACAAGAACGGGUCAAAAGGAUGAACGAGUAGACAAAUCAAGGUCGAAACAUUUUUAAGCAAAGAUAUAUGUUUAUAAAUAGCUGCAAUCCCUUAUAUAUUAAAGGAGAAGCAUUAUAAUAAAUGUAUUCACACUAUAAUAGACACGUGGCAGCCUCAUAAUGAUUUGAUAAUAAAUAUGCUAACGCGUUCACACUAUAUUUAUAAAUGUGUUCAUACUAUAUACUUUGUAUUUUUUAAUAUAAAAUUCAUAUGCAUGGUUCCAAUAAAACUUUAGAUUUUUUCGGUUCGAAUCAAAACAAAUAACGAAUCAAAAGCUAAACUAUAUAUAUAUAUAUUAUUUUUAUUGUUUACUGAUAAAGUUGGACAAAAUAUUUAUAAUUUUUGAUUCAAUUCAUUAUCCGUUUUGAAUUGAACCAAAAAAUAUGGAUAUCUGUAACACUCUACAAAACAAAUCAGUUACUAAAAUACAAUUAAAAAACAAACAAAUCACAAAUACCAAUAUUUUUAGGAGCAAUUAUCAAAUUUGAUCUAUUAUAUGAAUAUAUAUACAUAUAUGUACAGAAUUAUAUAUAUAUGUUAUAUAUAUUAUAGUUUAUAUAAGUUUUACAAUAUUUUUAUGAAUUAAAUUUAUUAUAUUAGGUAUUAAAAUUUUAAAAGUAAAUAAUAUUUUAUUUUUGUAAUAAACGUUAUUAUUAAAUUUUCAGUUAUUUUUUAAAUUUUAUUUACGGAUCAAAUCGGAUAUUCUUUAAAAUUCUAAAUCAUUUCGGAUAUCAUAGUCACCGAUUAUCCAAGUGGCUAAAGAUUUAAUCGACAUGAAUGCCUCCAAAUACUCGGAUAUUCGAUCUGUGCCCACCUCUAUUUACGGAUAUAGUUGAUUUUUUUAUAUGAAAAAAAUUCACUAAUGUCAAGGCCUUUUUAAUUUUUAAUUAAUUUUAAUUUUAUCUGUUAUGUAUUAUUUAAAACAAAAAUAUCAUUAAUAUUAAUUAACAAUAUCUUUAUAUAUUUGUCAUUUAUUUUUAUAUACUUUUACAUACACAUAUAUGUGCACCUUGAUGUGAGCACUUUAUAAAUAUUUACCACUACUGUAGUAUCUAUUUUUUUUUUAGAAUUUGAAAUAUUUUUUUUCUUAAUGCUUCUUUCAGUACCGACCAAAUUGUAGUGAAAUGAUUAGUCUUAAUAAUUUUUUUUUCUUUUUCUUGAACUAUUAUCCGUUUACAAACUAUAAUAUGAAACCAUUGAUUCGACAUGACAAUUAUCUAAAAUUUAUAACAUAAAAAUAAACAAAUAAUAAUACUUAUUUAUUUUUACCGAAAAAACUAAAAAAUCAAACAUUCUAACAGAAUAAACCAAAAAAUAAUUUAAAACUGAACCAAUAUCUAGAUUAAACAGAUUUAAUGUGUUUUUAUUAAAAAUAACAAAACUAAUAAUCACAUCCCGCGCAAGGCGCGGAUUAUUACCUAGUAACUUAGUAAUCUGCUAGGUUACUGGAUUAUAUUAAGGAAACAAUGAACUGAACCUCGUUAAAGAAUUAUGGUGGAAAAUAAAUCUAAAAAGGACUUUAGUUGGGUCGUGAAAAACAAUUUACGAUCUUACGUGCAGUAAAGAAACCGGGUUGGGCCACAAGUAAAUUAUCUUGUGAAGUUGUGAUUCUUAUUUUAUUAUUUAUAAAUCUUAUAAUUAUGAUUCUUCCGAAUGAUUCCCUAUCUAUAUAAUAUAAAUUCCCACCAAACACUUACUGAUUGCACACCUAACUAGCCUAGUCUCAAUUACACCACAAUAAGGAGUCGACUAACAAUGCAAAUAAAAUUCACAAUUUGCAAAACACAAAUUUCAAAUGGAGAUCGUGUGAAAAGCUCCAACAAAAGUGGCAGAAACAUUAUUAACAAUGUGUUUGAAUAAUUGAACUUGGCAAUGAACUCAAUUAUGUUACUUAUUUUUUGAAAAACAUAAAAAACCGUGGGAACGAAAGCUUCUUCUUCUUCUUACCAGGCUUGCUCGGUGGGAACGGACUGGUUUCAGAGUUAUCUUCUGUUCCAUAUGAUUCACUUGGGCUGUAGACCUCAGGUGAUCGGGUCAACUUACUUAAGAUAAAUCUUCAGUGAAAGAAAAAUAAAAAUAAGUUUGUAGCCACUAGACAAAAUAAAUCUGUGAGUAAUGAUAUUUUCGUAAUUAUUAUUUUUGAUAACAAUGAAUUCAAGAAUAUAAUAGGUAUAAAAUUUAAGCUAGUAAUUAAACUAAAAUAAAAGUCAUUAUUAUAGUAAUAAACUAAUGAAUUAGGGUUAAACUAGCUUUUUCCCUAAUAAUUAUUAUUUUUUAUUUUCAAAAACAAAAUACAUAGAGCACUUGUAAAAGGUUCUGCUCUUUCCGAUCAAUCCAAAUAAUAAUCGAAGGCGAUAUUUCAAGUUUUCAACAUUAAUAAACGUGCCACAUCCGUUUAUAUUUUUAGACAAGUUUUCGGAAAAGGCAACUAAAUAUAAAUAAAAUAAAACUUGAUAAAAAAGGAGCCGAAUAUCCCCUGUGGAUCCUCUGCUGGAUAAUUAUAAAAUCAAUGUCUGUCACUUCUAGACAAGUCAUUUAAUUUUCCAGACCGGUAAAUCCAAAGCACGUUCUUGGUCUCGGAUUCAGAAAAGAAAAGAGAGAGAGAAGAUGAGUUCAAGAUCUGACCUCACAAUCAUGCGUGUCUGCUUCAUAAUCUUCUUGCUUGGAGUUCUUGUUGAGCUAUGUGAUGGAGGGAUUACCAGUGAAUAUGUCAGAGGAAGUGAUUUACCAGACGACAUGCCAUUAGACAGCGAUGUCUUUAAAGUUCCCCCCGGUCCUAACACUCCCCAACAGGUUCACAUAACGCAAGGUAACCAUGAAGGCAAUGGAGUGAUUAUUUCAUGGGUGACUCCUUCUGCGCCCUGUUCUAACACAGUU
This 6342-nucleotide long non-coding RNA is filed under the name Brassica napus (rape). RNAcentral's name for it is "long non-coding RNA (BNAP_LNC003640)". Lineage: Eukaryota; Viridiplantae; Streptophyta; Magnoliopsida; Brassicales; Brassicaceae. The record is from RNAcentral.